AUGCAUACAGCAGGCUCUUCUGGGGAAAUCCCAAGCACAACUGACUGCAAGCAUUCAUUCAGCUGUUCUAGAUUAGCUAGACUUGCUGAUUUGCAACAGAAGAGAUGUAAUUUAUUCACUGAUACAUGCCAGGGCAAGAGUUACAAAUCAGAAGUGUAUCUGCAAGGCAGAUUAUUUAUCUCCAAAGGAAACUCUUGCCAACUGAUCCCAGGCAGAAGAUUGGCUUUGGUUCUGCAAGCAGCUGCUCAUCUUCCCACUUUGCUGGAGAUUGAGUUAUAUAUACUACAUCUUAUUCACCUAAAAAGAAACAGUGUGACCACAAGUUAA
Molecule: long non-coding RNA, 327 nt
Filed under: Anser cygnoides (Swan goose)
Lineage: Eukaryota; Metazoa; Chordata; Aves; Anseriformes; Anatidae
Description: lncRNA (ENSACDG00005005090.1)
Source: RNAcentral